GGCUUAACACAUGCAAGUCGAGGGGUAACAGGGGAGCUUGCUUCCGCUGACGACCGGCGAACGGGUGCGUAACGCGUAUAGAAUCUGCCUUGUACAGGAGGAUAGCCUUUAGAAAUGAAGAUUAAUACUCCAUAAUGUUGAGAAGUGGCAUCACUUUUUAAUUAAACAUUUAUGGGUACAAGAUGACUAUGCGUCCUAUUAGCUAGAUGGUAAGGUAACGGCUUACCAUGGCAACGAUAGGUAGGGGGUCUGAGAGGAUUAUCCCCCACACUGGUACUGAGACACGGACCAGACUCCUACGGGAGGCAGCAGUGAGGAAUAUUGGUCAAUGGAGGCAACUCUGAACCAGCCAUGCCGCGUGCAGGAUGACUGCCCUAUGGGUUGUAAACUGCUUUUAUACAGGAAGAAACAGUCGUACGUGUACGGCCUUGACGGUACUGUAAGAAUAAGCACCGGCUAACUCCGUGCC
This 469-nucleotide ribosomal RNA is filed under the name Cytophagales str. MED21. RNAcentral describes it as "bacterial SSU rRNA". It matches the Rfam family "Bacterial small subunit ribosomal RNA", at positions 45 to 509 of the family's 1533-position model. Lineage: Bacteria; Pseudomonadati; Bacteroidota. The record is from RNAcentral.